Molecule: long non-coding RNA, 2299 nt
Organism: Gavialis gangeticus (Gharial)
Lineage: Eukaryota; Metazoa; Chordata; Crocodylia; Gavialidae
Exons: 4
Source: RefSeq, a predicted model, not a curated record
UUUAUCAUACAAUAAUUCACAGCUGUUAAAAUAUCCCAUAAAUCAGACAUCAGUCCUUGUUUCACUGUCCUUUGAAAAAAAUGACCUCUGUCUACUGAGCUUUCUUUUACUACAAGAAUAGCAAGUGGUAAGACCCUGAACUCCUGUCUUUUCAAACAAUUGAAUGCAUAUAGCAGAAAACUGGCAUCAGCAAGCAAAGCAGCUGCAUACAUUCCAAAUAUUGCUCUAUUUAAAGCAUCCCUUAAGCUCACAGCAACAACUACAGAAGCAAACCUUUAAACUUGUCCAUAAAUUCAGCAGGGAAGGAAUGGCAGAGCCAGCAGAAAAUCAAUACUCACGUUUUGUUAUACCUGCACUUCUUGUGGUUGGCUGGAUAAUUGGUUGUGCAUUAAUGGUGUACAUUGUCUUCUCUUGAUUAGAAGAAAGAAAAUUUUGCAAUGAUGUCGAUUAGAAGAACCCAGAAGUUUAAAUGGAAAUCUUUAGUCGUUAAACUAUGUGCUGUACACGUAUUUUAAUAUCACAAUGUAGGAUUGAAUAUGGACUUUGUCCAAUGUAAAUGAGUGAUGCUCAUUAGAGAUGAGAAGACUCAUCCUGCCAUUUUUCUAAUCUUUAUGUACUUCGGGAGUCUGAUCAUAGGUCCACCUAUCCUCCAAACUACAAAUUGCUGUCAUCUUCAAUUGUCAGCAUUUUGUAAACAGAAUCUUUAUUUUUGAUUAUAAACACACAGUUCCAGCUGGAACUGGAGAUCUGCAAAUAAACCUAUAUAUUGUGAUAUAUGGUAAAGCAAAUUACAUGGGAUGUAAGCUAUCCCUAGCAAAUAGAUUGGUCAUUGUUAAUUUUUUGUUAUUAAAAAACAGGAAUCAAAUUAUAAUGGAAAUAGCUCCUUAAACUCUGAUACAUAGGUUCUAAAUAAAUUUUCCAAAACAAAAUCUUAUUUUGUUUUUUUUAAAUCUUAUCAUCCAAAAUAGUAAAAAUCCAUAUAUUGAAAGGACCAGAUACCAAAAAAUCCACCGGUCCACUGGAAGAUAAAAGAUAGAAAGAAAAAUCUGCUAUAUUGAUAUGCUAAGCAUUCUAUAUGUGGCUUGCUAGUGUAAAUAUGACUUGGUUCUUAUAAAAUUAAAAAACUUAAGUUAUUCUUCACUGAUAGAUGUCAAAAUAACCAUUGACCAUUUGACUCAGAAGACUAGUUCUAGGGCCCUGUUUUACUUCUCACUCAUUAUCAAGUUAAUUCACUUAUGCCACUUAUUAAAAUAAAUGGGACCUGACUCAAAUGGGAGUUAGACUAGGUCUUAAUAUAAGCAGUUCCACUAAAAACAAUAAAACUAUAUGCACAAGGAGAGAAGAAAAUGACCUUUCAUAGCAGAGCACUGCCUCUCUCCGCUGAUGUUGCAUCUCCAACUGUAUCCAAUCUCUGAUUCUUCAGAAGAAUUGGAGGAAAAUUAGACAGUAUAAAGCUGGCCAUUUUUGUAUCAGUUUCCUUCCUGAGAGCUGCAGAUGACUGGCUAAAGCCCUAAAACAUAAAAUUUGUGGAUAAGCACUGUUUUAAUGGAGAACUGCAUGUUAUGAGCAUGUUGGAGGUUGCACGGACAGUCUGUUCUCUCUGGGACCUCAAAGGAAGAAGGAGAAGCCAGGGGGCUCUCAGAUUCACGUAUUCCAAAGCUACAGGGGAUUGUCUGUGUGUAUUUGAUCACAGAAUUUCUCCCAGAUACAUAUCUUUAAAACAGACACUUAUUUUCACUUUAACGACUCCAGGCAAAGAUGUGUGCACUUAGGAGAUCCGCUCUUAAGCAGCUUGUUCAAAGUUGUGGAGGGAGAGGGAGAUUUUCAGAGGCACAAAGAGGCCUACCUCUUUGUAUUGAAAGUCAAAUCUUGGUGUUGUUGAGUGCCUGCCUACAUGGCUGUCCAAAGCUGGGUGAUCUCAAUUGCAUUAACUCCCAGUGCAACUCUUAGUUGUACUACACUUCUUUUUUCAUAAGACCAUAUUUCAUUUUGAAGUAGACAGAGCCAUUAAGUUGUUUAACAUAAGUAUUCCAAUAUUUGCUCUAUGUGAUUUGUGUUGCACCAACACUGUUACAUAAAACUCAUAGCAAAUUAAACUAUGCAGCUUGCUUUGCAGGUUUCAUUAUUUCUAUAAUUCCUAUAACAUUUGCCAGUUUGCCACUUGGUGAUGCUCUGUGUUUUGGACACAUUAUUAUUUUUCAGAGUGGUAUAUCUCACAUGCACCCAGCAGAUGGCAUUACCUUUGCAGUUACAGCAUUUCCUGUACUGAAAGGCAGAGAGGCAGAUUGGUGUUUUAUUU